Molecule: ribosomal RNA, 497 nt
Filed under: uncultured bacterium
Lineage: Bacteria
Description: partial 16S ribosomal RNA
Rfam family: Bacterial small subunit ribosomal RNA
Source: RNAcentral
GACGAACGCUGGCGGCGUGCCUAAUACAUGCAAGUUGAGCGAUGAAGAUUGGUGCUUGCACCAAUUUGAAGAGCAGCGCACGGGUGAGUAACGCGUGGGGAAUCUGCCUUUGAGCGGGGGACAACAUUUGGAAACGAAUGCUAAUACCGCAUAAUAACUUUAAACAUAAGUUUUAAGUUUGAAAGAUGCAAUUGCAUCACUCAAAGAUGAUCCCGCGUUGUAUUAGCUAGUUGGUGAGGUAAAGGCUCACCAAGGCGAUGAUACAUAGCCGACCUGAGAGGGUGAUCGGCCACAUUGGUACUGAGACACGGCCCAAACUCCUACGGGAGGCAGCAGUAGGGAAUCUUCGGCAAUAGACGAAAGUCUGACCGAGCAACGCCGCGUGAGUGAAGAAGGUUGUCGGAUCGUAAAACUCUGUUGGUAGAGAAGAACGUUGGUGAGAGUGGAAAGCUCAUCAAGUGACGGUAACUACCCAGAAAGGGACGGCUAACUACGUG